This is a long non-coding RNA of Triticum aestivum (bread wheat), 1335 nucleotides long. RefSeq lists it as uncharacterized. NCBI's taxonomy places the organism in Eukaryota, Viridiplantae, Streptophyta, Magnoliopsida, Poales, Poaceae. The record is from RefSeq and is a predicted model, not a curated record. The transcript is spliced from 5 exons.
CACGUUCCCCUCUCUCUCUCUCGCCCGACGCCGCCCACCACUCGUUCCCCACCACUCGUCUCUCUCUCGUGCGCGACGCCGUCCUCUCCCCGUCGAUGUGCCCACUCGCCGGCAUCUUGCUCCGCACCGUCGCCUAGCUCACCGCUCCCCACGCAUCGCUGCCUAGCUCACCGCUCCCAACGCGCCACCCUCUCAAACUCCGGCAAUGCACUGCUGGGCGAGGAGUAGAUGCAGAAAGCUGCCAUUUUUAUGCGCCGGCAACGCGCUGCUGGGCGAGGAGGAGGCGCGCGCUGGCGCUAGAUCUGAGUGUGUUGGCGCUCGAUCUGCUUUGUGGAGAGGCAUGAAGGAGGCGUUGAAGCGGAGCCGGAGCGGCACCGGCGCGGGCGUGAAGACGGCGACAGUAGGAGCUGGAGCCCGAGCAGGUGGAGGUGGAGCCGCAUCUGGACCUUGUACUGCAUGAAGAUGGAUGGAGUAGAGAGCCUAGAGGCUAGAGUAGGAAAGAGCCUUGGACAGGAGCCAUGGACAGCGCAUGACAGAGCCAUGGACAGUGCAGCAUCACAAACUUCAUUCCGGUAGAGCCUGAUGCAGCGCAGCAUCACAACCUUGAUGGAAGGAGGCCAGGCCAUGAAGAAAAAAGCUCCUGCCCAUAUCGAUUCAAGAGGAGAGGAGGGCCAUGGAGGGAGAAGCCUGCUGCUGCAAUACCUACCUUGUCGUCCUCAUGGUGGGGUGUAGUUGAGGUCUGGGAGAUCCAUGUUCUCCAGGCAACUGAAAAGAACUUUCAAGAUUGUUUUAAAGAAGGGCUAUUGAAAAAAGAUGUGUGAGAGUAUUAGUGACUCUCAUGUGGGCAUGCCGCACUUUUCAGGUAGCAGGUUGAUCUCUCAACAUUUCUCCAUUCAAGUCAUUUCCCCUAGUGUUUUUUCGAAGCACUACUGCAGAUUGCAUACUAAGAAUGACCGGAGUAUUUUAUUUACAUCAAAUAAUGUCAAACAGUUUAGAUUGUUCAGUCAUACCAUAGUGUUUAAAAGUUUGGACAUUCUGAAGAUUCAAAUAAAAAUAGACAUGUGCACACUUUACUUGAUCAUGUCGAGUUAUAGGUGAAAGAGACCCUCUUAUGGGAAUAAUGAAGUACAUAAAUGAUAGUGAGUUCAAAGUAAGGCUGUUCUGCCGGGGAAACAUCCCUCCGGGAGGGGGAAACCAUCGCCAUCGUCAUCACCAACGAUCCUCUCAUCGGAAGGGGGUCAAUCUCCAUCAACAUCUUCACCAGCACCAUCUCCUCUAAAACCCUAGUUCAUCUCUUGUAUCCAAUCUUUGUCCCAAAGCCUCAGAUUGGUACCU